Gymnodraco acuticeps is the source of this 321-nucleotide long non-coding RNA. RefSeq lists it as uncharacterized. The record is from RefSeq and is a predicted model, not a curated record. The transcript has 3 exons. Lineage: Eukaryota; Metazoa; Chordata; Actinopteri; Perciformes; Bathydraconidae.
GCUUCUCCUUUGUGGCCGCGUGGAUUGUUUGGCGUGGCAGCUCGCCCAUCACACUCUCUACCAGACAGCUGACACCCGGUGCGUUUGAGGAGGAUUGGCUCCUCCGGAGGUUCCCGGUCUUGCAGUGUUGCAACUAUUGUGGGAUUUGGCCGUGGGAUUGUUGGGUCUCUCUCUCCCUUCCCUGUGGGCUCUGUGGCUGCAACUGGCCGCACAGGCUGGUAUGUAUGAAUUUCCCCAUAGAUAACUUUUAAUUCAAUAAACUUAAGUAUUCACCAGUCAUUUUAAACUUCUUUCCAGGAGUGCCAUAAACAUUCUCCCUUC